CGCCGGCAGCUGCGGACCGGCACCCCGCAUCCUGCGGGCCCUGCGCCGGAGCAGCCCCAAGCUGAGCCCUCGAGUCCCCAGCCGUGUCCCCGCAGCGCGGCCCGUUUCCUCUUGUCCGAUUGCAAUAGGGCCUGCCAAAAAAGUCUGCCCCAUUCCUUCUUACGGCCCCGCUUCACAUACUGAGAGGCCGCUCUCGGGUCUCCCCAGAGCAUUCUCUUCUCCAGGCUGAGCGGCCUCAGCUCUCUCAGCCCGUCCUCAUAGGGGUGGUGAUCCACACCUUGGCUCAUUUCUGUGGCCCUCCUCUGGAUGCGCUCCAACAGGUCCAUGUCUCUCCCGCACUGAGGACUCCACAUCUGGAUGCGGUACUCCAGGGCUGCGCUCAUUCCUUUCAUCCAACCAUUACUACACAGAACUACUGGCUGUGUCCCUUGGUAUCGCUACAGACCCUCCAUGCCUGCCAAAGGGCUGCUAAAACCUCGUGGCUGGGGCAGGAGGUCAUCUCAGGGCACUUGGCUGCUCCAGGGAACAAAUUCCUAUGCAGUGGUGCCAUGAGCCUUUGAGAGCUGCCAUUGAGAAGUGGCAUUUGCAGAUCACAGUGAAUGGAAUUCCCCACAGCUAGUAACACCUGCAUCAGUGCUUGUGGAGAAUGCAGCGGGAAGUGGUGGUCUCUUCUCUCAGGUAAUGAGUGAUGGGAUGCAAGAAAAUGGUCUCAUGCUGUGCCAGGGGAGGUUUUAGUUAGACAUGAAGAAGAAUUUCUUCAUAGAGAAGGUGGUCAGGCAUUGGGAUGGGCUGCCCAGGGCAGUGGUGCAGUCCCCAUCCGUAGAGGUGUUUAAGAGACUUGAGAAUGCGGCACUUCAGGACAUUGCUUGGUGAUGGGGCUCAGUAGGUUAGACUGAUGGUUGGACUUGGUGAUCCUGAAGGUCUUUUCCAACCUGGAUAAUGCUAUGAUUCUAUGAAAGAAGCACUGCAACAUCUCAGAGACUCGCCUCCCUUCUACGCUACAUGCUUGGAGGGAAGAAAGGAGAUUGGGACUGUUCUUGUCCCACCAAGCAGCCCAGCUGCACUGCGAGAUUAGGUGUUCUCCUGGCUGGAUUAUGUCUGAGUUGUGUUGAU
RNAcentral lists this long non-coding RNA (1113 nucleotides) under Gallus gallus (chicken). RNAcentral describes it as "lncRNA (ENSGALG00010019154.1)". Lineage: Eukaryota; Metazoa; Chordata; Aves; Galliformes; Phasianidae. The record is from RNAcentral.